RNAcentral lists this ribosomal RNA (392 nucleotides) under uncultured bacterium. Its description in RNAcentral is "bacterial SSU rRNA". It matches the Rfam family "Bacterial small subunit ribosomal RNA", at positions 28 to 417 of the family's 1533-position model. The record is from RNAcentral.
GACAAACGCUGGCGGGGUGCGUGAGACAUGCAAGUCGAACGGGGUUUCAUCGGGCUUGCUCGUUGAAACCUAGUGGCGGACGGCUGAGUAACGCGUAGGUGACCUGCCCGGAAGUGGGGAAUAACUGCCCGAAAGGGUGGCUAAUACCGCAUGUGGUCGGCGAUUCGCUUCGUCGCCUAAAGCCGCAAGGCGCUUCCGGAGGGGCCUGCGUCCGAUUAGCUAGUUGGUGAGGUAACGGCUCACCAAGGCGACGACGGGUAGCCGGCCUGAGAGGGCGACCGGCCACACUGGGACUGAGACACGGCCCAGACUCCUACGGGAGGCAGCAGUGGGGAAUAUUGCACAAUGGGCGAAAGCCUGAUGCAGCGACGCCGCGUGAGGGAUGACGGCCU